Molecule: long non-coding RNA, 413 nt
Filed under: Bos taurus (domestic cattle)
Lineage: Eukaryota; Metazoa; Chordata; Mammalia; Artiodactyla; Bovidae
Description: long non-coding RNA NONBTAT000478
Source: RNAcentral
UAAUCUCCAACCUUAAACAGAUUCAUUUUCUUUGGUAAGUUUUCCACUCACAUUACUUAAAGCAAAAAAGAUGAUUUCUUUACCAAAGAAAGAUUUGCGAUUAUGGUUUUUCCUAAGUUUUCUUCUCUGGAGCAGGUUUUAUCUCCUUCUGAGUCUUUAACUCCAAAACCAAACUUGUUAUCUCAGAUUGAAUAUACGUAUUUCUCCUCCGGGCUUCCAGGUUGUCAAUAAGUAUAGUCAGAAAAAUUUGGUGUUCUGUUUUCUCUGCUCUCCCAUCAGGUUAACUGAUCAAUUAACACCUUCUCUGCAUCUAGUUCCUUUUAGUUCUGGCUAAACUAAAUUUUGAAACCUUGUCAAUUUUUUGUUGUGUUGUAAUUCUGACUGAUCUUUCCUCCUUCAGUCUUUCCUCUACU